Salmo salar (Atlantic salmon) is the source of this 4786-nucleotide non-coding RNA. The record is from RefSeq and is a predicted model, not a curated record. NCBI's taxonomy places the organism in Eukaryota, Metazoa, Chordata, Actinopteri, Salmoniformes, Salmonidae.
AGCUACUGAAGAAAUCAUUGAUCAAGGUUUACCCGUUUCUCAGCCUGAGCACCGUAAAUUAGUUCGAGUGCAAGUAAAAAGCAUUUGUGGAAAUAAUUUAGCACUAAGAAGUGUAGAUUUCUAUGGUUGGUCAUAAUAACUAUCUAAGGGCCAAAUGCAGUAAGUUAGAAAGCUUCCUUUACCUCCGAGGGAGAGUCCAAGAAUAAGGCAGGCAGCUGUCAGUUUAAUGAAGUUUUGCUAACAACAAUUUGGAAGAAAACAUUUAUUCUCAACUAAUGACAAGCAAUUGGUAAUUCAUUCAAAGGUAUCCACCACCCACAGAUGGAGGGGUUCGACCUCGUGCCUGUAGGCGGUGGCAGUCCCAUACACCUGCCCGUGGGGGAGACACUGCCGUGAAGGGGUCCAUUCCUCGGCGUCAGCGACAAGAGUCUCCAGACACCACGGCCUUCUUGAGAACCUGAAUGGGCAGCUGCACAUCAAACCUUCCCAGAUGCAUGUGAACCCCUGCUUUUGUCAAUCCUCACUGGAUGACCACCCACAACCCCUGGACAGGAACCAGUGGUAUAAACUUGGACAGGGAGACGUCAUCUCCCUUCUUCUUGGGAAAUGCAUCUACAAGGUGGUGACCAUGGGUGGAGAAGAUGGAACACCCAGAAACAGCCAAGCUUUUCAAGAUGAAGACGAGGCUGUUAUUAAGUCUCUUACUGCCUCUCCUGAACCAAGCGACGAACCCGCUUACCCCACUCGACAGGGCAAGGGGUGGACACCAAGCUCCCAUGUACAAGAAUCUAGACUGGAAGGUAGUGUGGACCAGAAGGAGCCAGAUGAACAGUUACCUCAAACCAGAAGCUGGGGGAGCUGAAGCAGAAAAUGACAAGAACGAGCUGAAACUCGAACCAAAGAAAAGAGUGUUACCUGCUUGGAUGACGGUACCCAUUGCAGCUCCCAAGAACCCCACCACCACCACCACCACCAAAGGAGCUGGAAAUUGAGGCAGAGGAACCGCAACCCCAUCCAUAAGCACCAACCAGGGCACGCCCAAACCGUCCAGGGACGCAGCGCCCUUGUCAAGGGAGGAGGAAUCUGAACACAGCGAGCCGGAGCCAACGCCCAGGAAGAGGAUGAGGAGGAAGAGUGAUGAGGACGAUGUGGUCCAGUCUAAAACAGCAUUUAAAGCCAGACAGGAGGUGAAGCCUAGUGAAGUAGAGAGCGAGGAGUCGGACCACUCUGACAUGGAGGAGGAGAAUGAUGAAGAGGAGAAGCUUCCGCAGUGAAAGGCAGCAGCACUUCUACGAGCAGAGCGGAGGUCAGCGAGUCCGAGGACAGAGGGAGACAGCCUCAGAAAGGUCAGAAGGUCGACAAGGGGCCUCGGGUCAAGUGAAGUUUCAGGCCCCGCCCAGUCCAAAGCUUGGCUCAGGACGACCUGCCCCUUUGGAAAGGACUGUUACAGGAAAAAACCCAGUCCACUUCCAAGAAUGCAGUCACCCCGGCGACAGCGACUACGAGGACGAUUCCGCGAAAGACGAAAAGGCAGAGGAGGACGCGGACCAACCUGAGUGUCCGUAUGGCACAGACUGCUACAGGAAAAACCCUCUUCACUGGAAGGAAUACAAACACACACACCAAGUGGUAUGUUAAUUUAUACCUGAGAGAGAAAGACAUGCUAACCUCUCACCGCCCCUCAAAUGUUUCUUAGGUUCCAUUUUUGGUUCCUCUUCAAUGCAGAAUAUAAUCAGCCGUUCAUCCAUUGAAUCCAACUGGUAUGCAGAGCAAAGAUAUAAGAGAAACCUUUGAUCUCAAGCAAUGCUAUAAAGACAUUUAUUGUGCAGAUGCCCAACAAUCUUAUCUGGGCUAUUGAAUUCAGUUUGUUUUUAUCUUUCCAGAUUUAGUCAGACAGCGAUAUGUAUGCAUAUCCAUCCACUGUAGCACUAGUGAAUACACUGUACAAACCUAUAAUCCACAUUCCCCUCCAGAGUUUAAAGAAGCAGAAACGAUUAAACCAAUUGCCCUCCGUUUCUCUGAUGUGACGUCAGCAGGAUCUAUAAACUCAUUCGGAAACAUUGACUUUCUGUAAGGGAGGUGUGUAACUCAAUUUGUAUUGCCUCUCAGCUUACAGACUCAUAGUGAUAUUGAACAUAGCUGCCAUUACUAGAAACCUGGAGUAGGAUGAAGUUGCCCCUAGACACUGAUCUUGUGUCAGUUUAGCAUUUUCCCCACUAAUGGUUAAGGUAAGGAUUGGGGAAGGGGAUGCUAAUCGUAGAUCACGUGUGGGCAAGCUUUUUGUCUCGAGGGCCACAUCAGGAUUUAGAAAUUCAUUGGAGGGCCGCACAGAUGUUGUUUUUUUAAACAAUUUGUUUGUCAAAAUCCGUUUCAUUAUAAUUUAUAUUUAUAAUGCCCCCCCACCACCACCAUCAAACCUCCUGUGGGCCAUAGUUUUCCCACCCCUGUUCUAGAUCAUUACUAAGGGAAACUUCAUCCCGGAGCGUAGGUCACAGGUUGGGUAAGCUACUUUCUAAAUGUAAUCCAUUAGUUACUAGUUACCUGACGAGUUACUUUUGGAUUACUUUCCCCUUAAAAGGCAUUAGAAGAAGACUUGUGGUCGGACUCGCUCAGGUGGAACAAACUUAAACUCGCCCCUUUUUUUCAAUGCUGAAUUGAAUGAUACCUAUUUGAAUCCUGUUAUGAGUGAAUGUAAUAAAAUGCUGGGCUGUUUUUGUGGAACGUAGCAUGUAGUAUUGAUAAAGACACAACCAAUGUCUUGUGCUAGCGUCAAUGGAAUGAAACAGCACGUUAAUAAUACUAUAAAUGGCCAUUAAUAAUUCUAUACAAUCCCUUCUGCAACGAGAAAGCCGGUAUCAUACAACAACGAUGAUGAUGAGUUUGGGGACGAUGACAGCUUCAUCAAUGAUGAGAGCAAGGACAUAAGUGAAGACUCUGACUAUGAGCCACCUGACUCAGACGACAGUGGCAAGGAGGACCUCAAAAGACUCAAAGAAGCCAAGGCCUUCACAAAUCUGAAAUGAACUAUUGGCCUGAACUUGACUAAUCUCCCCUUGCCUGUUUUAAACUAAGCAUGCUAUUUAAGCAGGGUUGAAGUGCAUUUGGGUAUACCUUUUUUCCUCUUCAAACACACUUGGAAUCCAGCAGGUCUAGAAUCUCAAAUAAUAUUAGUCUCCCUGUGCUGGGAAAAUAGUCGCAAUUUACCCCAUCAGUUGCGAAGAAUCAAUAAUGGGAUUCUUGACUGAUUUUAAAUUGUUUGUGUAUGAUGAUGUCAUAUUGCUGACUUUACCUUUUUUAAAGUAGUUUAAUUUAUGUGUAAUACUUUCUUGGAUAGUAAUUCAUCACUAGCAUUUUUGAGGUGUAGGUAUUCUUGAUUAUUGGUUUGUUUGAUUAGUAUGGACAAGCAGCUAAAAAAAUUAUCGGUGCCUUCAGAAAGUUUUCACACCCCUUGAUUUUUUUCAAUUUUUUUUGUUAUAAAGUGCAAUUAAAUUGUCAUUUUUUUUGGUCAACUAUCUACACAAAAUGUUUUGUAAUUUCAAAGAAAAAUGCCAGGUGUCCUAUUUAUUAAGGAAAGUAAUCAUUAAAUGUUAAACACCUUUGGGUGUGAAUUGUUUUGGGUAAGAGCUUUGCACACCAGUAUUGUGCAAUAUUAGCCCAUGAUUCUUAAAAAAAUUAUUCAAGCUCUGUCAAGUUGGUUGUUGAUCAUUGUUUGUUGGAAAGCAGACUGAACCAGGUUUUCCUCUAGGAUUUUGCCUGUGCUUAGCUCUGUUCUCUUUAUUUUUAUCCUGAAAAGCUCCCUAGUCCUUGUAGACGAUAAGCAUAUCCAAAAUGUGAUGCAGCCACCACCAUGCUUGAAAAUACAAGGAGUGGUACUCUGUGAUGUGUUGAAUUUGCCCCAAACAUAACAAUUUGUAUUCAGGACAAAAGUUUUUUUUCUUUGCCACAUUAUUCACAGUAUUACUUUAAUGUCUUUUUGCAAACAGGAUGCAUGUUUUGUAUUCCAUACAGGCUUCCUCGUCAUUUAGGUUAGUAUUAUCAAGUAACUACACUGUCUUAAUGGCCUCAUGGUGAAAUCCCUGAGUGGUUUCCUUCCUCUCCAGCAACUGACUUAGGAAAGACGCAUGUGUCUCCCUAGUGACUGGGGUAUAUUGAUACAUCAUCCAAAACCUAAUGAAUAACUUCACCAUGCUCAAUAUUCAACAUCUGCUUUUUUUUAUUUUUACUCAUUUACCAAUCAGUGACCUUCUUUGCGAGGAAUUGAGAAACCUCCCUGGUCUUUGUGGUUGAAUCUGUGCUUGAAUUUCACAACUGAGGUACGUUACAGAUGAUUACAUAUGUGAGACGGGCUAGUCAUUCAAAAAUCACGUUAACCGCUAUUAUUGCAGACAGUGAGUCCAUACAGUUUAUGUGAUUUGCUAAGCAAAUAUUUCCUCCUGAACUUAUUUACGCUUGCUAUCACAAAGCGGUUGAAUACUUAUUGACUCAAGCCAUUCCAGCCAUUUUUGUUUUCAUUUGUAAAACAUUCUUAAAAACCCACUUUGACAUUAUGGGGUAUUGUGUGUAGAUCAGUGACACAAAAUGUAGUUCUUUAAUCCAUUUUUAAAUUCAGGCUGUAACACAACAAAAUGUGGAGGAAGUCCAAGGGAUGUGAAUACUUUCUGAAGGCAUUAUAAAUAAUGUAUCAUACCAGUAGUUAUGUGUUUAAUUUACAGUAGUUUGUCAUGAUUUGUAUGCUCGAUGCCAGUAUCAUGUUUUUCUACAGUAAAUAUGCUUUUAUAGAACAAUA